This 2941-nucleotide ribosomal RNA is filed under the name Thermoactinomyces sp. CICC 10521. RNAcentral describes it as "23S ribosomal RNA". It matches the Rfam family "Bacterial large subunit ribosomal RNA". Lineage: Bacteria; Bacillati; Bacillota; Bacilli; Caryophanales; Thermoactinomycetaceae. The record is from RNAcentral.
GGUUAAGCUACUAAGGGCACACGGUGGAUGCCUUGGCGCCAGGAGCCGAUGAAGGACGGGGCGAACACCGAUAUGCCUCGGGGAGCCGUAAGCAGGCGUUGAUCCGGGGAUUUCCGAAUGGGGCAACCCACCAGCUUGAAGAGCUGGUACCGCCAUCUGAAUCCAUAGGAUGGACGGGGGCAGACCAGGGGAACUGAAACAUCUUAGUACCCUGAGGAGAAGAAAGCAAACGCGAUUCCCUGAGUAGCGGCGAGCGAAAGGGGAACAGCCCAAACCGACAGACUUUGUCUGUCGGGGUUGUAGGACGUCUCACACGGAGUGAGAAAGGCGAGGGAUAGGUGAAGUGGUUCUGGAAAGACCCGCGAUAAAAGGUAACAGCCCUGUAACCGAAAUCCUUCGCCCUCCGAGACGGAUCCUGAGUACCGCGGGACACGUGAAACCCCGUGGGAAGCUGGGAGGACCACCUCCCAAGGCUAAAUACUCCCUGGCGACCGAUAGUGAACCAGUACCGUGAGGGAAAGGUGAAAAGCACCCCGGGAGGGGAGUGAAAGAGAACCUGAAACCGUGUGCUUACAAUCAGUCGGAGCUCCUUUGAGGAGUGACGGCGUGCCUUUUGUAGAAUGAACCGGCGAGUGACGGUUGCGUGCGAGGUUAAGGUGAGAAGCCGGAGCCGCAGCGAAAGCGAGUCUGAACAGGGCGCAUGAGUACGUAGUCGUCGACCCGAAACCGGGUGAUCUACCCAUGUCCAGGGUGAAGUUCCGGUAACACGGAAUGGAGGCCCGAACCUUUUGGUGUUGAAAAACCAUAGGAUGAGGUGUGGGUAGGGGUGAAAUGCCAAUCGAACUCGGAGAUAGCUGGUUCUCCCCGAAAUAGCUUUAGGGCUAGCCUCGGAGCAGGAGUGAUGGAGGUAGAGCACUGAUUGGGCUAGGGGCCCUCACCGGGUUACCGAACUCAGUUAAACUCCGAAUGCCAUCCACUUUUCCUCCGGGAGUCAGACUGCGAGUGCUAAGAUCCGUAGUCAAAAGGGAAACAGCCCAGACCACCAGCUAAGGUCCCCAAGUAACCGCUAAGUGGGAAAGGAUGUGGAGUUGCCUAGACAACCAGGAUGUUGGCUUAGAAGCAGCCAUCAUUCAAAGAGUGCGUAAUAGCUCACUGGUCAAGUGACUCUGCGCCGAAAAUGUAACGGGGCUAAGCGGUUCACCGAAGCUGUGGAUGUUGCCGAAGGCAACAUGGUAGGGGAGCGUUCCAAGCGGCGUCGAAGCCGCAUCGUGAGAUGCGGUGGAGUGCUUGGAAGUGAGAAUGCCGGUAUGAGUAGCGAAAAGAGGGGUGAGAAUCCCCUCCGCCGUAAGCCUAAGGGUUCCUGAGGAAGGUUCGUCCGCUCAGGGUAAGUCGGGACCUAAGCCGAGGCCGAAAGGCGUAGGCGAUGGACAACAGGUUGAAAUUCCUGUACCACCUGAUUCCGUUUGUACGAUGGGGGGACGCAGGAGGGUAGAGAAUCGCGCGACUGGAUGUGCGCGUCCAAGCGGUGAGGCUGAAAGGACAGGCAAAUCCGUCCUUUCUUUAAGGCCAGGCCGUGAUGGCGAGGGAAAUUUAAAGUACCGAAGUUCUUGAUCUCACACUGCCAAGAAAAGCCUCUAGGAGGAAGCAGGUGCCCGUACCGCAAACCGACACAGGUAGGCGAGGAGAGAAUCCUAAGGCGCUCGGGAAAACUCUCGUUAAGGAACUCGGCAAAAUGACCCCGUAACUUCGGGAGAAGGGGUGCCCCGGUAGGGUGAAUAGCCCGAGGGGGCCGCAGUGAAGAGGUCCAGGCGACUGUUUAGCAAAAACACAGGUCUCUGCGAAGCCGCAAGGCGAAGUAUAGGGGCUGACGCCUGCCCGGUGCUGGAAGGUUAAGGGGAAGGGUUAGCGCAAGCGAAGCUCUGAACCGAAGCCCCAGUAAACGGCGGCCGUAACUAUAACGGUCCUAAGGUAGCGAAAUUCCUUGUCGGGUAAGUUCCGACCCGCACGAAAGGCGUAACGAUCUGGACGCUGUCUCAACGAGAGACCCGGUGAAAUUGUACUGCCUGUGAAGAUGCAGGCUACCCGCGACAAGACGGAAAGACCCCGUGGAGCUUUACUGCAGCCUGAUAUUGAAUCUAGGUACGGCUUGUACAGGAUAGGUGGGAGUCGCUGAAACCGGAGCGCCAGCUUCGGUGGAGACGCCGGUGGGAUACCACUCUGGCCGUAUCGGGGUUCUAACUCGCCGCCGUCAGCCGGCGGGAGGACCGUGUCAGGUGGGCAGUUUGACUGGGGCGGUCGCCUCCUAAAAGGUAACGGAGGCGCUCCAAGGUUCCCUCAGCGCGGUCGGAAAUCGCGCCUACAGAGUGCAAAGGCAGAAGGGAGCUUGACUGCGAGACCGACAAGUCGAGCAGGGACGAAAGUCGGACUUAGUGAUCCGGUGGUUCCGUGUGGAAGGGCCAUCGCUCAACGGAUAAAAGCUACCCCGGGGAUAACAGGCUUAUCUCCCCCAAGAGUCCACAUCGACGGGGAGGUUUGGCACCUCGAUGUCGGCUCAUCGCAUCCUGGGGCUGAAGUAGGUCCCAAGGGUUGGGCUGUUCGCCCAUUAAAGCGGUACGCGAGCUGGGUUCAGAACGUCGUGAGACAGUUCGGUCCCUAUCUGUCGCGGGCGCAGGAAAUUUGAGAGGAGCUGUCCUUAGUACGAGAGGACCGGGAUGGACGCACCGCUGGUGUACCAGUUGUUCCGCCAGGAGCACCGCUGGGUAGCCAAGUGCGGACGGGAUAAGCGCUGAAAGCAUCUAAGCGCGAAGCCCACCUCAAGAUGAGAUUUCCCAUUCCUUCGUGGAAGUAAGACCCCUUGAAGAUGACAAGGUAGAUCGGUCCGAGGUGUAAGCACAGCAAUGUGUUCAGCUGACGGAUACGAAUCGGUCGAGGGCUUAUCCUA